AACGAACGCUGGCGGCAUGCCUAACACAUGCAAGUCGAACGAGACCUUCGGGUCUAGUGGCGCACGGGUGCGUAACGCGUGGGAACCUGCCCUUAGGUUCGGAAUAACUCCCCGAAAGGGGUGCUAAUACCGGAUAAUGUCUUCGGACCAAAGAUUUAUCGCCUUUGGAUGGGCCCGCGUUGGAUUAGCUAGUUGGUAGGGUAAAAGCCUACCAAGGCGACGAUCCAUAGCUGGUCUGAGAGGAUGAUCAGCCACACUGGGACUGAGACACGGCCAAGACUCCUACGGGAGGCAGCAGUGGUGAAUAUUGGACAAUGGGCGAAAGACUGAUCCAGCAAUGCCGCGUGAGUGAUGAAGGCCUUAGGGUUGUAAAGCUCUUUUACCCGGGAUGAUAAUGACAGUACCGGGAGAAUAAGCUCCGGCUAACUCCGUG
RNAcentral lists this ribosomal RNA (433 nucleotides) under uncultured bacterium. RNAcentral describes it as "partial 16S ribosomal RNA". It matches the Rfam family "Bacterial small subunit ribosomal RNA", at positions 29 to 507 of the family's 1533-position model. The record is from RNAcentral.